Molecule: long non-coding RNA, 6149 nt
Organism: Cygnus olor (mute swan)
Lineage: Eukaryota; Metazoa; Chordata; Aves; Anseriformes; Anatidae
Exons: 2
Source: RefSeq, a predicted model, not a curated record
UCUGCACGUCCAGGACAAGUCCAAAACGACAGCGAGCAGGAUUGUGGGUCUGGAUCCAGUGGUGCGAAGUGGGUGAAAGCUUGUAGCACCUGGCAGACUUGUUCUGCAGUGAUACGGCUUCACUAAAUGCAGACAACACUACAGGGGGCCCUGUGUCAGUAGUAAAGCUCUGACGGUGGUCAUCUUCCGGCUGGAAGGCUAAAAUUUUCCACGGGGCUUGCUGCCCACAGCCAGAACCAGCUUUUCAACAACACGCAGCGCAGCAGCGUGGUCGCAACAAAAAAGCCACCUACUCCUUCGGGGAGAAGAGAAGAUGCAGACCCUUUAGAAAAUCGGUCAGUUCUCCCCCCCUCACCGCCCCACACCAACGCACAGACACCUUCCCAUCCCAUUGCUCGCUCAUCUAGUGGCAAAAUGAAGUCUGCAUCUUUAUUAGGGCUCCAAGAUGCUAGCAGAAGGGAAAUAAAAAAGAAAACCACAGCUUCUCGAGCUGUAACAGAUCCUACAUUCAGGCCGAGAGUGCUUCUCCGAGGAGGAGAGAAGUCUGGGCAUCGUGUUUGCUCAGUUGCAGAGCUCUGGGGCAGGUCUGGUUAUUUUAGGGAAAACUGCAAAACCAGAGGAGCUUGACUUGAACCGAGCAACCUCAGCACCCCUUUCGGUGUCGGAGGCAGAGAGCCUCCUGUUGCUGGUCGCACACAUUGCAGGCAGCGCGUUAUUAAAGCCCUCCCUCAUUAAGUGCAGAGCACAGCAUCAAAGUAAAUAAAUAAAACCUGCAGCCUGCUGGCGACAUCUUCAGCCACCCACUGCCAAGCGGUGACAUAAGAAGUGUGGGGCCGUGGGUGUCGUUGGCAGCCCAAGGGUUAAGCUGGGUUAGUCAUGUCCGGGCAGCCAGGGGCAGAUGCUCAGCCCCCGGACACCGAUGGUGGAAGGCCAGUGCCAUCUACGGGCCACAUCCUGCCUUGGAUGCUCUCCCUGCUGCUCCGGGCCGAGGGACAGCGGCGAGGACGGGUCUGGCUCAAAGGACUGCUGCUUCGAGCUGUCCUUAAGCUGGGAACAGGGAAAACUGGUGCAUGCAAGGAGAGACUGGCGAGCCAGAAGGGUUUGGGCCGUGCUAAGAGAGCAACUGUCGCUUGUGGAGGUGGGAAGAGAAGUUUGCUCGCAGCCCCUGGCGGCAGAGGCGCCGGGCUGGUGCUCCCAUCUGGCAGACCGGCUUCCAGUCGAGGCAGCUGGGACGAUACAGAAAGCCCCGAUGGAACCCCCAAAGCGGCUGUCCUGUCCCUGAUGGUUCCUGGGACACCACACAGCCCCGGGCUUGUACACGGCUGCAUAGCGAAGGACAAGAAAAGCACUGUCCUAAAAGCAGAGCUAUUAAGGCACGUGAUAGUGAAGCAACCUGUCACAUUCAGCCAUCUAAUUGUGCCAAAACUGGGAGGAAAACCCGUCUCCCAAAUACCAGGCAGUGCUCUGACAGUAAGUCCUUGCCUCAAGCACGAUUCUAUACCGGUCCUCCAAAGCUGGGAGAAAUACAAACAUGCACUGGCCACUGCAAAAAAAUGGUUGCUCUCUCCAUGCCCUUCCUGCAAACCAAGUAUCACUGAUCGUGAACAGCUAGUUUUGCCUAGAAAAUAUAACUAGAUUGAUAAAUAAAAGUAAAAGUGAGCUCCCAGAAGCUCUGAUGGGCUUCCUUGGUGGUUCGAGGGCGCCUUGUGCAGCCUUCCCCUGCCCUGGGGAGGCAGCACCCUCUGCUGCCGUCUCAGAGCAAACCAGUCCUUGCAAUAAAGCCUGCUGGACUUUGCUGUUACUUUGCUGGGGAUUUCCAGGCAGUUUUUUGUGGUUGCUUGGAUUCAGUCGCGUGCACAAUGCCUCUUCUCCUAGUAAGUAUGAUGAAUGAUCAAAUUUAACCGAGAAAGAAAUCCAUUAACUUUUAAAACCCUUUUAAUCAACUGCUUGUGAUGCUAGAAAAAAAGGCAGUGUGUGACUGGAGAACUCCUAGGCUUGAAAUGCAAUCCUCUAAUGAGGACGUCCCCCAUCUGGAGGGUGGGAAACAUUUUAGGAUGCUUAAACCUGAUCUCAGGCAAACUUCUAUAGGAAAGAAAUUACCCAGAGCCCCACAGAGCAAGGGUCUGCUUUUUAAUGGAAAACUUGAGAAGGUUUACCUGUUGCGGUGAGCUUCAGCAGGUGAUGUGAAAUUGCAAAAUGUUCACAGAACAGCAAAACCUCCCUACUUCCAACUAUAGAGCUUCCUGGAAUCACAGAUUUCCUACACAUGUGGUCGAAUGAGCCAAAUUACCAAAACACAAAAAAAUGAAGAAAGAGGUAUGUAGGACCUGCGUACAACAUCUUCUCAGUGUUAUCUGAUCAAAGAAGAGCUUGUUAAAGGUUAACAAACGUACUCAGAUUAAACCCAGCUUCAUCUCAUCUUGUUCUCUAACGACCAUACCUCAGCUUAUUUCCAGUAAUUUAUUAAAAAACCUUAAUAAAACCUUAAUAAAAAAACCUUAUCUCCAGGCAGCUUGCUACCCCUGCCUGGCACUAGUGGAAACGCCUAGAUGUGGUCCAGGACAAGGGAGGAAAUGUCCUUGUGUAUCUAAGGCUUGUCCUUGGGAAGUGGACAUAGGAUCAGAUAAGACAGCCUCAAUUUCGCCUUUUUCCCCGCAGGAAGACCGAAAUACCAGUCUGCAAAAUGACCACUGAAAACCUAGCUCCAGAAAGCAGUAAAGCAGAUAGAAAUGUGCUGCCUGUUGGCUGCAAGCCACCUCUCUGAGCGUGGCUGGAAGCAAGGCACAGUGACGUGCAGCAAAGCCGUUCUCUACAGCAGCAGCUCCCGACCGGCGAUCCUCUCUAGGCUGUCACCAGUCCUAACACAAAGUCAGUCAGAGGAGUCAUCUCGGCCAAAAUAAAACUGAAUUUUGUUGUUGUUCCACAUCUGAAUUCUGUUUUUCUCAUACAAGGACAAGCCUGGACAAGAAAGAUUGCUUAUAGACUUCUGCCAGUUACCAAUACCAGCACUAAGCAAUAAACAGAGUGGUUCAAACACCAGUGAUUUUCGCACUGGAAGGAGUGCAAUUGGUCUGCACGGAAAACUCCCUAGUGGGCUGGAAAGCAAACAAGUAUCCUGAUCCAGUCUGUUGGCUCGUCAGGAACACGCUGGAGUUGCCAACAAACACGGGUCACUGACAUCCUGUUUCUCUCCAGCUGCUCCAAGGGGUCAAACUGCAUCUCCAGAAGUGGGAGAAACUUGCAGGAGGCUUCCUGUUUCCACUUCUCUGCCCAAGAAACCAUCCUCAGGCCAGAGAGGCGAAAGGACGCCCGGACAGACGAAGAUGUCCCAGGCGUGCAGUAACUGGGGGAACCCUGGCAAGAGUCGGCGGUACCUCUACGUCUUCUUUAGCCCUGGCUAGUGUGACAUGCACUACACUAUGUAGCCGCAGUUGCAUGGCUGGGCAGUUGUCCCUGGUCAAACCAAGGCUGGGAUUGCCUUCAUUUGUAUUUCAAAUGCCUCUGCUGAGAUACACCCCUCUACAGACGAGCCCCUGCUGUGUUGAUUUCUCUGCAGAAGACUCAGCAGUUGCCUGAAUUAGGCGAUCAACAGCUGAGCUAGAAGAAUCCAGGAGUUCUGGAGUGAAAUGGAAGUGGGUUUGAGUUUCUCCAGUGGUUAGGCUUGGACUAGCACUGAUGAACGUUGCUGGUGCCCUGCUUCAGAAACUGUGCUACAAGAUAGUGGGAUCUGUGACUGCUCCAUCACACCGAGAUGCUUGAGGCACCCCUGGUGCCUCACGUCAGAGGGCAUUGUUUCUCCAUCUGUACAUGAGAUUUGGGGGGAGGUUCCCUUUCUUUCUGAGUCAUCACAAGAGCAAGUGACCAGCAGCGAGUUUGUAAAAGUUAGCCUCACACAACCCAUCACACUGGGCAGCGAAGACUUCCCAGUGCAGCAGUCAUCUCUAACCUGAUGUUCAGAGGAGGAUCUCACUAAGAAGGGAUCAAGGACUCAGCAGUGACAAAACAGGAGAGCUUCGUAAACAAAAUCAGCACCAGUGCGAUGGAUACAAAUGAAGAAUCAGACCUUUCUUUUACUGCGGAAGGGAGAUGAGCUCACAGGAAGGGGAGCUGUGCCUCCGAUUUGCCAGUAGCCUGCAGGUAACUAUCUUAAGUUAGAACUCUGCAGCUGCUGUUUCGUUCCUCAGGUGCCCUUCCCAUACAAAAAUGGGAUCGAAAGCUGCCUUUGCAGCUGUUUUUCCCUGAGCUGCAGUUCUGCUGGUGCUUAUCUCAGGAGAAGCAGCGGAGUUCCUCAGACUUUUUCUCACAUGAAUAGAGAAGGCCAUAUAAUCUCUCGUUAACAGAUUUUGCAGCUUCUGUUACUUCAGUUAAAUCCAGCCCAGCAGAGCUGAAACCCACCGAUGUCCUUUUCCCUUGGCGUGAAAACCAAGAGCUGCAGCACAGGUACCAUCCUUGCAGAGAAGGCUGGGGCUGAAACGUAAAAAACCGCUGAACUUCCUUCCUCAGACCAACUGAUGGGUAAGAGUGGCUGACAAGCAUCCAGAUCCCUUGCCCUCCCACAAGACCUCUUCCUACUCGUUACCAUAGCUGCUAUUACAUUAGAGAUUUAUCUCAGCUGUAAACCCUCGCUCAGGCUCCUCGUUAAUCUCCACCUAAAAACACGAGCUAUGGAAGAGCCCCGUGCACUAUCCCUACCCGAGCACGAGGGGAACUGAAUACAAAGAAAAUGAAAGUCAGCAUCAUUUCCCUCUGUUCCAACAGCUGCCUUUUAACCACCCCCACUGAACUGAGCUGAACUGAGGCAUAUUUGCUUUUAAAGAUACACAGCCUGGCUGUUUACUGCCUCGUGGAGCCCGGAAUGUUCCAUCUUUUCCUGAUUAAUUUAUAUGAACUAUAGGACGCCUAUCUAGCUCCAGAGGCUGUUUUUUUUUUUAAUUCAUGCUAGAAAUAUAUAUAUACUGAUACAUAUAUAUACGCACUAACAUAUAUAUGAUGCAGGAUUAUUGUAAUUUGUGGCUCUUGUGGAUAUUUGUAUAAAGGCACGUGGUCAGGCAGUUGGGAUAGACGAUUUUUGAAGGGCCCUUCCAACUGAACUGUUUUGUUCUAUUUUAUUCGAAUUAAAUGGUUCAUGGAGUGACUGAACAGCACGUCCACUGUCACCCCGUGUCCUGAUCCUUUGGUAAAGCGGUUACUGAGCAUUCAAAGACAUGCAGGUGAAAAAAGCAGUAUGACAAGAAUACAGCUGAAUCCCAAACAGAAAUAUAGCCAGGAAUGGCGCAUCAAAUGGCUGGCUUGAACGCAGUGCUAAUAAAGCGUGUGGUUUUUAUGAAAGAAGGUACAAAUUAAGCAGUAUUUUACCACUGCUUGGCACGAGUUAAUUGUGACUCUGGAGAAGGGAGUCAAGUCUUGGCCCUUUCCAGUUUAACAGCUCUCUUCUAAUCCAAAAUGUUUCUCUGUACAAAAUUUGCAAGAGCCUUUGAGAUCUAUUGGCUUCCUGAGGAUGUUUUCUUUCCUUUUGUUUUCUCCCUUUUUGCUAUACCUCUGCUGUCAUCCCAGACUUGGGGCCGGGUGUUUCACUGUGGUGUGUGGGCAGGAGCCCAGGGGAGGGGGAAAAAGCAGACCUAAUUACAGAGGAUGCUCUCAAAAAUAGAGUUGCUUUUCCCCUUGUCUGUGAGCUGGUGUGAGAGGUAGGUGUUCUAGUUCUUUCCAUAGUUUUGGAACAACAGAAGGGCGGAGUUACUGGCAGAUGGACUGUUGGACAUGGGUUUAAACUAAGCUCAGAGUUACACAGCCAUCACAAUAGAAACAACUGAAGUAAUUUUACAUAUUUAGCUUCCUUUCCUUCCUGCUGUCUCUUUUCCUUUAACGUUCUUUAUAAGAAUAUCAACCACCUAUUCAUUCCCUGCAGAUCCUCAGCGCGGCCACAACAUGACCACAUCCUGCCCCAAACAAUUACAUCAAAAAGGAAAAGCCAGCAGAACUGCUAGUGCUGGGCUGGGGAGAAGGAACGGCAGCAACGUACCAAUUCCUGGAGAUCUUCUUGGUGAAGAAAAACAAGCCCUGUAAAAUUCACUGCUUUGCUUCAUCCCGUUGAAAAACUUUGUUGUGCCAACAUUACAGGAGUCUGGGGAAAUAAAACUGUAAGAAGAGGG